GGUUACAGCUCAGUGGUAAAGUGCUUGCUUAGAAUGAGUGAGGUCCUGGGUUUGAUUCUCAGCACCA
Molecule: transfer RNA, 67 nt
Filed under: Marmota monax (woodchuck)
Lineage: Eukaryota; Metazoa; Chordata; Mammalia; Rodentia; Sciuridae
Description: tRNA.Ser
Source: RNAcentral